UACGAGGCUCCUGGAGCGUAAGAGACGGGUAAUCAUAAUCCUGGGGUCGGGGGUUCGAGUCCCUCCCCCGCUACCA
This 76-nucleotide transfer RNA is filed under the name Bradyrhizobium retamae. RNAcentral describes it as "tRNA-Met". Lineage: Bacteria; Pseudomonadati; Pseudomonadota; Alphaproteobacteria; Hyphomicrobiales; Nitrobacteraceae. The record is from RNAcentral.